RNAcentral lists this ribosomal RNA (467 nucleotides) under uncultured bacterium. Its description in RNAcentral is "partial 16S ribosomal RNA". It matches the Rfam family "Bacterial small subunit ribosomal RNA", at positions 28 to 507 of the family's 1533-position model. The record is from RNAcentral.
GACGAACGCUGGCGGCGUGUUUAACACAUGCAAGUCGAACGGAAAGGCCUCUUUCGGGGGGUACUCGAGUGGCGAACGGGUGAGUAACACGUGAGUAACCUGCCCUUGACUUUGGGAUAACUUCAGGAAACUGGGGCUAAUACCGGAUAGGAGCUCCUGCUGCAUGGUGGGGGUUGGAAAGUUUCGGCGGUUGGGGAUGGACUCGCGGCUUAUCAGCUUGUUGGUGGGGUAGUGGCUUACCAAGGCUUUGACGGGUAGCCGGCCUGAGAGGGUGACCGGCCACAUUGGGACUGAGAUACGGCCCAGACUCCUACGGGAGGCAGCAGUGGGGAAUAUUGCACAAUGGGUGGAAGCCUGAUGCAGCAACGCCGUGUGCGGGAUGACGGCCUUCGGGUUGUAAACCGCUUUCGCUCAUGACGAAGCUUUGUGUGACGGUAGUGGGUAAAGAAGCACCGGCUAACUACGUG